GGCGUAAUAACCGCUUCUUCAUGUGCUCUUUCCUUCAUUCUCUCUAUAUAUUUAUGAUUCACUGUGCUGCUUCUCGCUCUCCCUUUCCCUGUUAUCUCUCAUCCAUCUUUCUGUGGUACCCUUUUUGUUUCCAUAGCCAGACAUGGGAAAUUGCUUCACAAGCAACCAAGUUAUUGUGUCUCGGGAUGAGAUUAAGCAUCAUCAUGAACAACAAAUAGAAGCUGGAAGAUCUUUCCCCACGCAGGGUAGGCAAGUUGAGAGCAGUGGGAAGAGGAAGAUGGUGAGGUUCAAAUUACGUGACGAAGAUAAGAAAGACAAUGGUGGUGGUUGUGGUGGGGGUGGAGGUAUGAGGAUUAGGGUUGUGGUGACUAAAGAAGAGUUGAAGCAAAUCUUGAGUCACAAGAAUAAGGAUUUCAAGUUCUCUUCUAUGGAGCAACUGGCAAGGGUAGUGAGGUUGAGAGAGAUGAGGAUUCAUGAAGCAGAAGGCAUCAAUGGUAGUUGGAAGCCAGCUUUGGAAAGCAUUCCUGAGGACCACUGAUGACUGUAAUUAAUUAUUUAGUAUUGUGAUAGCUAACAAUAAAAUUAAUUAAGGGUGUUGAUUAAUUGUGUAGGCUUAAUUAUCUUGUUUUUAUUUUCAGUUUGUAAUUGGCGAGUCUGCAUUUUAUAGUCUCAUGUACUUGCUUUGGGUAUCACUUGUCACAAUUGACA
This 708-nucleotide unclassified non-coding RNA is filed under the name Hevea brasiliensis (rubber tree). Lineage: Eukaryota; Viridiplantae; Streptophyta; Magnoliopsida; Malpighiales; Euphorbiaceae. The record is from RNAcentral.